This 460-nucleotide ribosomal RNA is filed under the name uncultured bacterium. RNAcentral's name for it is "partial 16S ribosomal RNA". It matches the Rfam family "Bacterial small subunit ribosomal RNA", at positions 338 to 795 of the family's 1533-position model. The record is from RNAcentral.
CCUACGGGUGGCAGCAGUGAGGAAUAUUGGUCAAUGGACGAGAGUCUGAACCAGCCAAGUAGCGUGAAGGAUGACUGCCCUAUGGGUUGUAAACUUCUUUUAUAUGGGAAUAAAAUGUUCCACGUGUGGGAUUUUGUAUGUACCAUAUGAAUAAGGAUCGGCUAACUCCGUGCCAGCAGCCGAGGUAAUACGGAGGAUCCGAGCGUUAUCCGGAGUUAUUGGGUUUAAAGGGAGCGUAGGUGGAUUGUUAAGUCAGUUGUGAAAGUUUGCGGAUCAACCGUAAAAUUGCAGUUGAAACUGGCAGUCUUGAGUACAGUAGAGGUGGGCGGAAUUCGUGGUGUAGCGGUGAAAUGCUUAGAUAUCACGAAGAACUCCGAUGGCGAAGGCAGUUCACUGGACUGCAACUGACACUGAGGCUCGAAAGUGUGGGUAUCAAACAGGAUUAGAUACCCCAGUAGUC